GUGAUAGUUCACAAUCUAAUUGUUAGAGUAUCAAAAUUCCCCAGAACUGUUCACGAAAGCACUUUACCAAUCACCAUGACUCAGUCGUGGCUCUGGGUUCCUAGAACUUGACUCUCCUGCAAUUUGGAAUUAUCACAGCUAUUUAUCUUUGCUUUUGCAGUAUUACGGCUAAUCCAGUAGCAAAAGCUGCUGACAACACAACCGAUCUCCAACUCGCUUUGAACACGGCUCAGGUCGGACGAACAUUUCAGGACAGAAGUCAUGUAUUCAUUUUGAAACCUCGAAAUCAACUGCCUCUGAAAUAUCAGCAUGCCAACAUCUACUACAUUGGAGGAAUGGGAAAGAGAGGAAACAUCGUGCAGACUUACCCGGCCAUGGAAUAUCGCUUCACUCCUGAACGUAUUACAGUUACGACAGAGGAUGUGUUGUGUUUUGUAUGGUCAGGUUCCAACAACAAUCCGUCACACUAUGAUGGACAAGGAGCACAAAGUACUGAUCGCACCAACGUUUGUUGGGUAAAGGAAGGAUGCAGCUAUCUCAAACCAAAA
Orbicella faveolata is the source of this 548-nucleotide long non-coding RNA. The record is from RefSeq and is a predicted model, not a curated record. Lineage: Eukaryota; Metazoa; Cnidaria; Anthozoa; Scleractinia; Merulinidae.